CCUACGGGAGGCAGCAGUGGGGAAUUUUCCGCAAUGGGCGAAAGCCUGACGGAGCAAUACCGCGUGAGGGAGGAAGGUUCUUGGAUUGUAAACCUCUUUUCUAGGGGAAGAAGAAAGUGACGGUACCCUAGGAAUAAGCAUCGGCUAACUCCGUGCCAGCAGCCGCGGUAAUACGGAGGAUGCAAGCGUUAUCCGGAAUUAUUGGGCGUAAAGAGUCCGUAGGUGGGAGUUCAAGUCUGCUGUUAAAGAGUGUAGCUUAACUACAUAAAGGCGGUGGAAACUGAGCAACUAGAGUGAGGUAGGGGUAACGGGAAUUCCCAGUGUAGCGGUGAAAUGCGUAGAUAUUGGGAAGAACAUCGGUGGCGAAAGCGCGUUACUGGGCCUAAACUGACACUGAGGGACGAAAGCUAGGGUAGCGAAAGGGAUUAGAUACCCCAGUAGUC
Molecule: ribosomal RNA, 443 nt
Filed under: uncultured cyanobacterium
Lineage: Bacteria; Bacillati; Cyanobacteriota
Description: bacterial SSU rRNA
Rfam family: Bacterial small subunit ribosomal RNA
Source: RNAcentral